UACGGGGGGGGCAAGCGUUGUCCGGAAUUAUUGGGCGUAAAGGGCUCGUAGGCGGCCAACUAAGUCGGAUGUGAAAUCCCCAGGCUCAACUUGGGAACUGCAUCCGAUACUGGAUGGCUUGAAUUCGGGAGAGGGAUGCAGAAUUCCAGGUGUAGCGGUGAAAUGCGUAGAUAUCUGGAGGAAUACCGGUGGCGAAGGCGGCAUCCUGGACCGACAUUGACGCUGAGGAGCGAAAGCUAGGGGAGCAAACGGG
Molecule: ribosomal RNA, 253 nt
Filed under: uncultured bacterium
Lineage: Bacteria
Description: partial 16S ribosomal RNA
Rfam family: Bacterial small subunit ribosomal RNA
Source: RNAcentral